Molecule: microRNA precursor, 116 nt
Organism: Sorghum bicolor (sorghum)
Lineage: Eukaryota; Viridiplantae; Streptophyta; Magnoliopsida; Poales; Poaceae
Rfam family: MIR5565 microRNA precursor family
Source: Rfam
GUAAUCGGAUUCGCAUCAAUCCACGUGUGUUGGGGUGGAUUGAAGUAGAACUUGAACUAAAUUUCACCUCAAUCCACUCCAACAUAUGUGGAUUGUGGAUUGAGGUGAAUCCGACA